RNAcentral lists this ribosomal RNA (278 nucleotides) under uncultured Streptococcaceae bacterium. RNAcentral describes it as "partial 16S ribosomal RNA". It matches the Rfam family "Bacterial small subunit ribosomal RNA", at positions 505 to 783 of the family's 1533-position model. The record is from RNAcentral. Lineage: Bacteria; Bacillati; Bacillota; Bacilli; Lactobacillales; Streptococcaceae.
GUGCCAGCCGCCGCGGUAAUACGUAGGUCCCGAGCGUUAUCCGGAUUUAUUGGGCGUAAAGCGAGCGCAGGCGGUUAGAUAAGUCUGAAGUUAAAGGCUGUGGCUUAACCAUAGUACGCUUUGGAAACUGUUUAACUUGAGUGCAGAAGGGGAGAGUGGAAUUCCAUGUGUAGCGGUGAAACGCGUAGAUAUAUGGAGGAACACCGGUGGCGAAAGCGGCUCUCUGGUCUGUAACUGACGCUGAGGCUCGAAAGCGUGGGGAGCAAACAGGAUUAGAU